CGAACGGGUGAGUAACACGUGGGUAACCUGCCCAUCAGAAGGGGAUAACACUUGGAAACAGGUGCUAAUACCGUAUAACAAUCGAAACCGCAUGGUUUUGAUUUGAAAGGCGCUUUCGGGUGUCGCUGAUGGAUGGACCCGCGGUGCAUUAGCUAGUUGGUGAGGUAACGGCUCACCAAGGCCACGAUGCAUAGCCGACCUGAGAGGGUGAUCGGCCACAUUGGGACUGAGACACGGCCCAAACUCCUACGGGAGGCAGCAGUAGGGAAUCUUCGGCAAUGGACGAAAGUCUGACCGAGCAACGCCGCGUGAGUGAAGAAGGUUUUCGGAUCGUAAAACUCUGUUGUUAGAGAAGAACAAGGAUGAGAGUAACUGUUCAUCCCUUGACGGUAUCUAACCAGAAAGCCACGGCUAACUACGUGCCAGCAGCCGCGGUAAUACGUAGGUGGCAAGCGUUGUCCGGAUUUAU
RNAcentral lists this ribosomal RNA (469 nucleotides) under Enterococcus durans. Its description in RNAcentral is "bacterial SSU rRNA". It matches the Rfam family "Bacterial small subunit ribosomal RNA", at positions 99 to 554 of the family's 1533-position model. The record is from RNAcentral. Lineage: Bacteria; Bacillati; Bacillota; Bacilli; Lactobacillales; Enterococcaceae.